AUGGAAGCUUUCCCGUGGAAAAUGGAGGCCCCGCUUGCUGGACUUCGUCUCGUCCUUGGACGAGGAGUUAGUGAAAUCUGCUUCUCAAAAGGCGUUUGAAUCGCUUCCUGAUUUAAGGAAAGCUGUUUCUCAGCUUACGGUUUUGAAAGGCGUCGGUCCGGCAACUGCCUCCGCCGUUUUGGCUGCCUAUGCGCCUGAUGUCGCACCUUUCAUGUCUGAUGAGGCUAUGGAAGCAGCUCUGGGGA
Molecule: unclassified non-coding RNA, 245 nt
Filed under: Hevea brasiliensis (rubber tree)
Lineage: Eukaryota; Viridiplantae; Streptophyta; Magnoliopsida; Malpighiales; Euphorbiaceae
Source: RNAcentral